RNAcentral lists this long non-coding RNA (895 nucleotides) under Sinocyclocheilus grahami. RNAcentral's name for it is "lncRNA (ENSSGRG00000034439.1)". Lineage: Eukaryota; Metazoa; Chordata; Actinopteri; Cypriniformes; Cyprinidae. The record is from RNAcentral.
AAUGCUUGUUAGUAUCCCACAUCACUCUGUGUUUAGAGAGUCCAAUUACACAUAUAACAGAUUCUUUGUGUUACACCAUAUCACCGCCUGUUUGCCUUUCAUUUGUCCUCUCUCUCUCUUUGGUUUUCUAUGCAUGCUGACACGUCAGACACGCAACCAGGAGCUGGCAGUGGCUCUGGACUCCAGCGCGCUCACAAACACUCAGCUCUCGUCCAAACUCGAGACACUGACGAAGCAGUCUCAGGAGCUUUCUGAUCAACUACAGAAGGUAUAGUAAGCUGCCAGCAGUGUUAUUAGAUUGCUCAUUUAUGGUUUAUUAAUGAGCGUCUUCUCUUAUUGUGCAUUAUGUCUUCUCAUCAGGAGCGGAAAGAGUUUGAGCAGAAGUUCACUAAGGAGCAGGGAGCGAUGCGUGAACAGCUACAGGUUCACAUUCAGACCAUCGGCAUCCUGGUGUCUGAGAAAUCAGAGCUACAGACGGCUCUGUCUUACACACAGCAGGCAGCGCGACACAAGACAGGUGUGUGUGAGCUUGAGUGUGAGAGAGAGAGAGAGAGAGAGUGUGUGUGUGUGUGUGUGUGAGAGCGCGCGUGUGUAGAGAGAGAGAGAGUGUGUGUGUGUGUGUGUGUGUGAGAGAGAGAGAGAGAGAGUGUGUGUGUGUGUGAGAGCGCGCGUGUGUGCGCGUGUGUGAGAGCGCGCGUGUGUGCGCGUGUGUGAGAGCGCGCGUGUGUGUGAGAGAGCGCGUAUGUGUGAGAGAGCGCGUGUGUGUGAGAGAGCGCGUGUGUGUGUGAGAGCGCGCGUGUGUGUGUGAGAGCGCGCGCGUGUGUGUGAGAGCGCGCGUGUGUGUGAGAGCGCGCGUGUGUGUGAGAGAGCGCGUGUGUGUGAGAGAGCGCGUGUG